CAGUCGCCGCGGGAAUACGGAGGGGGCUAGCGUUGUUCGGAAUUACUGGGCGUAAAGGGCGCGUAGGCGGCCUGUUAAGUCGGAUGUGAAAGCCCGGGGCUCAACCCCGGAACUGCAUCCGAGACUGGCAGGCUUGAGACCGGGAGAGGAGGGUGGAAUAUCCAGUGUAGAGGUGAAAUUCGUAGAUAUUGGAUGGAACACCGGUGGCGAAAGCGGCUCUCUGGCCCGGAUCUGACGCUGAGGCGCGAAAGCGUGGGGAGCAAACAGGAUUAGAUACCCGUGUAGUCCCUGUCUCUUAUAC
This 301-nucleotide ribosomal RNA is filed under the name uncultured bacterium. RNAcentral describes it as "partial 16S ribosomal RNA". It matches the Rfam family "Bacterial small subunit ribosomal RNA", at positions 509 to 807 of the family's 1533-position model. The record is from RNAcentral.